Molecule: ribosomal RNA, 180 nt
Filed under: uncultured Glomeromycotina
Lineage: Eukaryota; Fungi; Glomeromycota
Description: partial small subunit ribosomal RNA
Source: RNAcentral
AACCUGGUUGGGUGGUCUGCCUUCACGGUACGUACUGCUUGGCCGGGUUCUACCUCUUGGUGAGCCAGCAUGCCCUUCACUGGGUGUGUCGGGGAACCAGGACUUUUACCUUGAGAAAAUUAGAGUGUUUAAAACAGGCUUAUGCUUGAAUACAUUAGCAUGGAAUAACGGAAUAGGACU